RNAcentral lists this ribosomal RNA (431 nucleotides) under uncultured bacterium. RNAcentral describes it as "bacterial SSU rRNA". It matches the Rfam family "Bacterial small subunit ribosomal RNA", at positions 958 to 1392 of the family's 1533-position model. The record is from RNAcentral.
AACGCGAAGAACCUUACCAAGGCUUGACAUAUAGCGAAAAGUGGCAGAGAUGUCAUGUCCGCAAGGGCGCUAUACAGGUGGUGCAUGGUUGUCGUCAGCUCGUGUCGUGAGAUGUUGGGUUAAGUCCCGCAACGAGCGCAACCCUCGUUCUGUGUUACCAGCAUUCAGUUGGGGACUCACAGGAGACUGCCGGGGUCAACUCGGAGGAAGGUGGGGAUGACGUCAAAUCAUCAUGCCCCUUAUGUCUUGGGCUGCACGCAUGCUACAAUGGCCGGUACAAAGUGCUGCGAAAUCGUAAGAUUUAGCGAAUCACAUAAAGCCGGUCUCAGUUCGGAUUGAGGUCUGCAACUCGACCUCAUGAAGUCGGAGUUGCUAGUAAUCGUAGAUCAGCAACGCUACGGUGAAUACGUUCCCGGGUCUUGUACACACCG